ACCCGUAAUCUACCCAGUUUUCGUAUCCAAAACGGAUAUCUGCGUUAAUUUUGGAGCUAAUACGUGCACCAACGUGCUGCUAGCAAUAGUGGCACGCACUUAUUAGAUCAAGGCCGAUUGGGGCAACCCUUUUGGUGACUCUGAAUAAUUUUGCGGAUCGUAUGGUCUUGUACCGACGACGUACUGGUCGAGCGGGUGCCCUAUCAACUAUUGAUGGAAGUCUAUGUGUCUUCCAUGGUUGUAACGGGUAACGGAGAAUAAGGGUUCGACUCCGGAGAGCUAGCCUUAGAAACGGCUAUCACAUCCAAGGAAGGCAGCAGGCGCGUAAAUUACCCACUCUCAAUUCGAGGAGGUAGUGACUAUCAAUAACGAGACAGAUCUCUUUGAGGUCUGUCAUUGCAAUGAGCACAACUUAAAGACUUUAACGAAGUCUAUGGGAGGGCAAGUCUGGUGCCAGCAGCCGCGGUAAUUCCAGCUCCCAACGUGUAUAUCGUCAUUGCUGCGGUUAAAAAGCUCGUAGUUGGAUCUUAGCUCAUGUCGGUAGUUCUCCAUGUGAGAUACUGCUCGGCUGAGCUGUUUCGCCGGUUUUCCGUAGUUUCGGCUGCGGUGACUGGUGUUGUAACUUUGAUUAAAUCAAUGUGAUUAAAACAGGCGUUUGCUUGAAUGCUUUAUCAUGGAAUAAUAGAAUAUGACUUCGGUCCAUUCUGUUGGUCUUGGGAUCGAAGUAAUGAUUAAAAGGAACAACUCGGGGGCAUCCGUAUCG
This 763-nucleotide ribosomal RNA is filed under the name Pristionchus sp. 8 TWN163. RNAcentral describes it as "SSU rRNA". It matches the Rfam family "Eukaryotic small subunit ribosomal RNA", at positions 108 to 899 of the family's 1831-position model. Lineage: Eukaryota; Metazoa; Nematoda; Chromadorea; Rhabditida; Neodiplogasteridae. The record is from RNAcentral.